CCUACGGGUGGCAGCAGUGAGGAAUAUUGGUCAAUGGGCGUAAGCCUGAACCAGCCAAGUCGCGUGAGGGAUGAAGGUUCUAUGGAUCGUAAACCUCUUUUAUAAGGGAAUAAAGUGUGGGACGUGUCCUAUUUUGUAUGUACCUUAUGAAUAAGGAUCGGCUAACUCCGUGCCAGCAGCCGCGGUAAUACGGAGGAUCCGAGCGUUAUCCGGAUUUAUUGGGUUUAAAGGGUGCGUAGGCGGCCUGUUAAGUCAGUGGUGAAAGUCUGUGGCUCAACCAUAAAAUUGCAGUUGAAACUGGGGGGCUUGAGUAUAGUAGAGGUGGGCGGAAUUCGUGGUGUAGCGGUGAAAUGCUUAGAUAUCACGCAGAACCCCGAUUGCGAAGGCAGCCUGCCAGGCCAUGACUGACGCUGAGGCACGAAAGCGUGGGGAUCAAACAGGAUUAGAUACCCCAGUAGUC
Molecule: ribosomal RNA, 460 nt
Filed under: uncultured bacterium
Lineage: Bacteria
Description: partial 16S ribosomal RNA
Rfam family: Bacterial small subunit ribosomal RNA
Source: RNAcentral